GAUGAAGAACGUAGCGAAAUGCGAUAAGUAAUGUGAAUUGCAGAAUUCAGUGAAUCAUCGAAUCUUUGAACGCACAUUGCGCCCGGUAGUAUUCUGCCGGGCAUGCCUGUUCGAGCGUCAUUUCAACCAUCAAGCCCCAGCGCUUGUGUUGGGGGCCUGCGGCUGCCGCAGCCCCCUAAAAGCAGUGGCGGGCUCGCUAUCACACCGAGUGCAGUAGUUCAUCUUCUCUCCGGUCUUGUGAGGCGGGUUCCGGCCGUGAAACACCCCACUACAUUCAAGGUUGACCUCGGAUCAGGUAGGAAUACCCGCUGAACUUAAGCAUAUCAAUAAGCGGAAGA
Molecule: unclassified non-coding RNA, 338 nt
Filed under: soil metagenome
Description: partial contains 5.8S ribosomal RNA, internal transcribed spacer 2, and large subunit ribosomal RNA
Rfam family: 5.8S ribosomal RNA (bases 1-120)
Source: RNAcentral